AAAAGGCUUAAGUUCACGUCACGGGUUGAUGAAGUAUUUCCCUCAUUUUGCCCGAGCAGCGAGUGAGGUGAGGUGCGGGGAGGCGAGGGCGGAAGGAGCAAAGCGUGCCAUCCACUCUCACCCCACUUGCACAGGUGUCUCGGCAACAGGUGGCGGUAUGCACAGAAGGGAAGACCUUGCAUGACUUACUCUUCCAAGACUGGGCGAGGACAGUGUGCAAGGCGCUGCUGGGGGCGGAGGUGAACAGGUCAUCACUGGUCACUGCUGCCAGACAAGGAGGACAUGGACAGGUCUGCUGCAUCAUUAGUACCAAAGUGAUAUGUCAUCGAUAGCAAGAUGGGUCCUCUAGGUCUACCGGAUGAAGAGUUGCCACAUCUGAUAAGGGAUACACUGGUGGAGGUUUCAGACACCUCGUCACAACUCCUGCAGCACCACCACCUGAAAGAGCCAAAUAUUUGGAAGACCAUCAUACAGCAUCCUGAAUA
This is a long non-coding RNA of Eriocheir sinensis (Chinese mitten crab), 485 nucleotides long. RefSeq lists it as uncharacterized. Lineage: Eukaryota; Metazoa; Arthropoda; Malacostraca; Decapoda; Varunidae. The transcript is spliced from 3 exons. The record is from RefSeq and is a predicted model, not a curated record.